RNAcentral lists this ribosomal RNA (253 nucleotides) under uncultured bacterium. RNAcentral describes it as "partial 16S ribosomal RNA". It matches the Rfam family "Bacterial small subunit ribosomal RNA", at positions 524 to 776 of the family's 1533-position model. The record is from RNAcentral.
UACGAAGGUCCCAAGCGUUAUCCGGAUUUAUUGGGUUUAAAGGGUGCGUAGGCGGGCUAUUAAGUCAGUGGUGAAAGCCCCAAGCUUAACUUGGGAACUGCCAUUGAUACUGAUGGUCUUGAGUACAUUUGAGGUGGGCGGAAUGUGUCAUGUAGCGGUGAAAUGCUUAGAUAUGACACAGAACACCGAUUGCGAAGGCAGCUCACUAAACUGUAACUGACGCUGAGGUACGAAAGCGUGGGGAGCAAACAGG